Molecule: ribosomal RNA, 243 nt
Filed under: Paenibacillus cellulosilyticus
Lineage: Bacteria; Bacillati; Bacillota; Bacilli; Caryophanales; Paenibacillaceae
Description: partial 16S ribosomal RNA
Rfam family: Bacterial small subunit ribosomal RNA
Source: RNAcentral
CUUUUAUGGAGAGUUUGAUCCUGGCUCAGGACGAACGCUGGCGGCGUGCCUAAUACAUGCAAGUCGAGCGGAGUUGAUGAGGUGCUUGCACCUCUGAUGCUUAGCGGCGGACGGGUGAGUAACACGUAGGCAACCUGCCUGCAGGACCGGGAUAACAUUCGGAAACGAAUGCUAAUACCGGAUAAUCGAUUUCCUCGCAUGGGGAGAUCGGGAAAGACGGAGCAAUCUGUCACCUGUGGAUGG